RNAcentral lists this transfer RNA (93 nucleotides) under Hydrogenophaga aquatica. Its description in RNAcentral is "tRNA-Ser". It matches the Rfam family "tRNA". Rfam says of the family: Transfer RNA (tRNA) molecules are approximately 80 nucleotides in length. Lineage: Bacteria; Pseudomonadati; Pseudomonadota; Betaproteobacteria; Burkholderiales; Comamonadaceae. The record is from RNAcentral. RNAcentral also lists the same sequence under 2 other names.
GGAGCGAUGACCGAGUGGCCGAAGGUGCUCCCCUGCUAAGGGAGUAUGCGAUGUAGAGUCGCAUCGAGGGUUCGAAUCCCUCUCGCUCCGCCA